CCUACGGGUGGCAGCAGUGAGGGAUAUUGGUCAAUGGGGGAAACCCUGAACCAGCAACGCCGCGUGAGGGAAGACGGUUUUCGGAUUGUAAACCUCUGUUCUCUGUGAAGAUGAUGACGGUAGCAGAGGAGGAAGCUCCGGUGAACUAAGUGCCAGCAGCCGUGGGAAUACGUAGGGAGCAAGCGUUGUCCGGAUUUACUGGGUGUAAAGGGUGCGUAGGCGGCUUUGCAAGUGCGGAGUGAAAUCCAUGGGCUUAACCCAUGAACCGCUUUUGAAACUGCAGAGCUUGAGUGGAGUAGAGGUAGGCGGAAUUCCCGGUGUAGCGGUGAAAUGCGUAGAGAUCGGGAGGAACACCAGUGGCGAAGGCAGCAUGCUGGCCUCUAACUGACGCUGAGGCACGAAAGCGUGGGUAGCGAACAGGAUUAGAUACCCUUGUAGUC
RNAcentral lists this ribosomal RNA (440 nucleotides) under uncultured bacterium. RNAcentral's name for it is "partial 16S ribosomal RNA". It matches the Rfam family "Bacterial small subunit ribosomal RNA", at positions 338 to 795 of the family's 1533-position model. The record is from RNAcentral.